This 254-nucleotide ribosomal RNA is filed under the name uncultured bacterium. RNAcentral's name for it is "partial 16S ribosomal RNA". It matches the Rfam family "Bacterial small subunit ribosomal RNA", at positions 524 to 776 of the family's 1533-position model. The record is from RNAcentral.
UACGUAGGGUGCGAGCGUUGUCCGGAAUUAUUGGGCGUAAAGAGCUCGUAGGCGGUCUGUCGCGUCGGUCGUGAAAACUUGGGGCUUAACCCUGAGCUUGCGGUCGAUACGGGCAUGACUGGAGUUCGGUAGGGGAGACUGGAAUUCCUGGUGUAGCGGUGAAAUGCGCAGAUAUCAGGAGGAACACCGGUGGCGAAGGCGGGUCUCUGGGCCGAUACUGACGCCGAGGAGCGAAAGCGUGGGGAGCGAACAGG